This is a non-coding RNA of Hypoxylon sp. FL1150, 92 nucleotides long. The record is from the annotation of a GenBank genome assembly. NCBI's taxonomy places the organism in Eukaryota, Fungi, Ascomycota, Sordariomycetes, Xylariales, Hypoxylaceae.
UCCUCGGUGGCGCAAUUGGCUAGCGCGUCUGACUGUUACUAUCUUAUCUGAUAGUCAUCAGGAGGUUGAAAGUUCGAGCCUUUCCCGGGGAG